GACGAACGCUGGCGGCGUGCUUAACACAUGCAAGUCGAACGGAAAGGCCCUGCUUUUGUGGGGUGCUCGAGUGGCGAACGGGUGAGUAACACGUGAGUAACCUGCCCUUGACUUUGGGAUAACUUCAGGAAACUGGUGCUAAUACCGGAUAGGAGCUCCUGCUGCAUGGUGGGGGUUGGAAAGUUUCGGCGGUUGGGGAUGGACUCGCGGCUUAUCAGCUUGUUGGUGGGGUAGUGGCUUACCAAGGCUUUGACGGGUAGCCGGCCUGAGAGGGUGACCGGCCACAUUGGGACUGAGAUACGGACCAGACUCCUACGGUAGGCAGCAGUGGGGAAUAUUGCACAAUGGGCGGAAGCCUGAUGCAGCAGCGCCGCGUGCGGGAUGACGGCCUUCGGGUUGUAAACCGCUUUCGCCUGUGACGAAGCGUGAGUGACGGUAAUGGGUAAAGAAGCACCGGCUAACUACGUG
RNAcentral lists this ribosomal RNA (468 nucleotides) under uncultured bacterium. RNAcentral's name for it is "partial 16S ribosomal RNA". It matches the Rfam family "Bacterial small subunit ribosomal RNA", at positions 28 to 507 of the family's 1533-position model. The record is from RNAcentral.